GCUAAAUCCUAGUAGACCUUUACUUUUCAAAGUAGCAAUCCUUCUAACUUUGUUUGUGACAUCACAUAAUUUAACCUACAUGAUUUCAUCAUGUCACUAGUCAUAUGUAUUACAGAUAAAGCUUGUCAUAUAGAGGACUCCUUAUUUUAAGUAGGAUGAUGCUGUUUUUUUCUCUCUAGUUUUCUGUAUAUUUCGAAAAAAUAUUUCUUUCUAUAUUCCUUUUUUUAACACUCAGUCAGAAUAUUGUCAGUUUUCAUCAUUAAACAACCAUUUAUAUAAUUGCCCUGUUUGGUUUUCCAUUCUUCUACAGCAUCUUUUCCCUUAAUCCUGCUCAUUGAAGCAUGAACUGUAACUUAUGCCUGCUUUUGAAGCACACAUUGAAUGUUAUACACCUAUUUCAAUGUAAUAAAGAUUGAAAUAUACACAUAUUAUAAAUGCAAUUUCAAAACAUACAAAAAGUACAAAGAUUGGGAUAAAUAAAAUAAUCAAUUUAUUUGCAAAGUUUUUGUUAUUGUAAAUUGUUGAAUACACAUAUACGUAAAUGAACACUUUACAUUUCUUAAAUAAACAGCCAUAUUAAACACAAUCUAGUGGUGAUUUUUAAUCUAUCAAUUCUGUCUGAAUACAACACUUUAAUGAAUUUUGUAUAUUCUGUUUAAAUAUGAUAAAAGUUGGAAUUCCAUAUUUCUGGUAAACUUUUAGCAGAUGUGGUUAAAAUUGCCAAAAAUUAUCAAAUUUGAUAUUAAUGGCAUAGUGUCUUGGCAGAUAUUUAUAUAUAUGGUAUGUAAGCUUAUAACAUUGGAAUAAGACACAGUCACAACUCAACAUGUAUAAAAGGAAAAUCAAUCAAUCUCAUAGUGAGGUUUCCAUAUUAUGGAGAUGUGGUUACUAUAAUAACUGAUUGUUCUACAUUGAAAUACUAGUAUUUUUAUGAGGGAAAAAUCUUUGUUUCAUUACAAUGUUGUUUAAAUAUCAAAGGCAAUUAAUUAUACACUGGUAAAGAUUUUUCUUAUCAAAAGUUGGGAUGCUUUUUACACCAUAUCUGCAUUAAACUAAAAAACUUAGAAGGAAAAAAUCUUUCACUGAAAUGUAAUGUAUGCUUAAAGAGAUGACAAUCAGAGGCUGGGUAUUUUGGCUCAAAUCUCAAGUGUCAGUUAUGUACAUACAACCUACUUUUAUUUAUUAUAAGCUUAUUGUUUAUCUUGUGAACUUAAGGGGGCUCGUGGGUCUAAAUCAUUUUUUUUUUAUUUAAUAUAGGAUCUCCUUAUUUUUCUCAAUGACUUAUUUAUACUAAUAGAAAAAUGAAAUAAAAAGAUGGGUCCUGUCAUUUAACGCCAA
This 1338-nucleotide long non-coding RNA is filed under the name Mytilus galloprovincialis (Mediterranean mussel). The record is from RNAcentral. Lineage: Eukaryota; Metazoa; Mollusca; Bivalvia; Mytilida; Mytilidae.